Molecule: ribosomal RNA, 490 nt
Filed under: uncultured bacterium
Lineage: Bacteria
Description: partial 16S ribosomal RNA
Rfam family: Bacterial small subunit ribosomal RNA
Source: RNAcentral
AGUGAACGCUGGCGGCAGGCCUAAUACAUGCAAGUCGAACGGCAGCACCGUGGAGCUUGCUCCAUGGGUGGCGAGUGGCGGACGGGUGAGGAAUACAUGGGAAUCUGCCCAGACGUGGGGGAUAACGUAGGGAAACUUACGCUAAUACCGCAUGCGCCCUUCGGGGGAAAGCCGGGGACCUUCGGGCCUGGCGCGAUUGGGUGAGCCCAUGUUCGAUUAGCUAGUUGGCGGGGUAAAGGCCCACCAAGGCGACGAUCGAUAGCUGGUCUGAGAGGAUGAUCGGCCACACUGGGACUGAGACACGGCCCAGACUCCUACGGGAGGUAGCAGUAGGGAAUCUUGCGCAAUGGGCGCAAGCCUGAUCCAGCCAUGCCGCGUGAGUGAAGAAGGCCCUCGGGUUGUAAAGCUCUUUUGUCCGGGAAGAAAAACAUCGAGCUAAUACCUCGGUGUUCUGACGGUACCGGAAGAAUAAGCCCCGGCUAACUUCGUG